Molecule: long non-coding RNA, 228 nt
Filed under: Elaeis guineensis (African oil palm)
Lineage: Eukaryota; Viridiplantae; Streptophyta; Magnoliopsida; Arecales; Arecaceae
Description: long non-coding RNA (EGUI_LNC047689)
Source: RNAcentral
GUGGGUCAAUGGGUUAGAUGGAUUAGGUCCAUAAUUGGGUUAGACCUAAGGUUAGCUUAAAGAAAUGAAUUAAAUUAGAGUAAUUGGUCAAAUCUAAUCAAAAGUUGAAUUAGAUUAGGUCAAGGACACUCUAGACUCAACUCCAAUAGUUGUAGUUGAUUGGGUCCAUGUCUUUAACUAGACCAAGAUGGACUUAAUUCAUGGCUACAUGGUGGAACCCUAUUUACU